GGGUUGUGAGGUUAAGCGACUAAGCGUACACGGUGGAUGCCCUGGCAGUCAGAGGCGAUGAAGGACGUGCUAAUCUGCGAUAAGCGCCGGUAAGGUGAUAUGAACCGUUAUAACCGGCGAUUUCCGAAUGGGGAAACCCAGUGUGACUCGUCACACUAUCAUUAACUGAAUCCAUAGGUUAAUGAGGCGAACCGGGGGAACUGAAACAUCUAAGUACCCCGAGGAAAAGAAAUCAACCGAGAUUCCCCCAGUAGCGGCGAGCGAACGGGGAGGAGCCCAGAGCCUGAAUCAGCAUGUGUGUUAGUGGAAGCGUCUGGAAAGGCGCGCGAUACAGGGUGACAGCCCCGUACACAAAAGCGCAUGUGCUGUGAGCUCGAUGAGUAGGGCGGGACACGUGGUAUCCUGUCUGAAUAUGGGGGGACCAUCCUCCAAGGCUAAAUACUCCUGACUGACCGAUAGUGAACCAGUACCGUGAGGGAAAGGCGAAAAGAACCCCGGCGAGGGGAGUGAAAAAGAACCUGAAACCGUGUACGUACAAGCAGUGGGAGCACAGGUUUACCUGUGUGACUGCGUACCUUUUGUAUAAUGGGUCAGCGACUUAUAUUCUGUAGCAAGGUUAACCGUAUAGGGGAGCCGCAGGGAAACCGAGUCUUAACCGGGCGUUAAGUUGCAGGGUAUAGACCCGAAACCCGGUGAUCUAGCCAUGGGCAGGUUGAAGGUUGGGUAACACUAACUGGAGGACCGAACCGACUAAUGUUGAAAAAUUAGCGGAUGACCUGUGGCUGGGGGUGAAAGGCCAAUCAAACCGGGAGAUAGCUGGUUCUCCCCGAAAGCUAUUUAGGUAGCGCCUCGUGAAUUCAUCUCCGGGGGUAGAGCACUGUUUCGGCUAGGGGGCCAUCCCGGCUUACCAACCCGAUGCAAACUGCGAAUACCGGAGAAUGUUAUCACGGGAGACACACGGCGGGUGCUAACGUCCGUCGUGAAGAGGGAAACAACCCAGACCGCCAGCUAAGGUCCCAAAGUCAUGGUUAAGUGGGAAACGAUGUGGGAAGGCCCAGACAGCCAGGAUGUUGGCUUAGAAGCAGCCAUCAUUUAAAGAAAGCGUAAUAGCUCACUGGUCGAGUCGGCCUGCGCGGAAGAUGUAACGGGGCUAAACCAUGCACCGAAGCUGCGGCAGCGACGCUGAUGCGUUGUUGGGUAGGGGAGCGUUCUGUAAGCCUGUGAAGGUGGCCUGUGAGGGUUGCUGGAGGUAUCAGAAGUGCGAAUGCUGACAUAAGUAACGAUAAAGCGGGUGAAAAGCCCGCUCGCCGGAAGACCAAGGGUUCCUGUCCAACGUUAAUCGGGGCAGG
This 1349-nucleotide ribosomal RNA is filed under the name Salmonella enterica. RNAcentral's name for it is "bacterial LSU rRNA". It matches the Rfam family "Bacterial large subunit ribosomal RNA", at positions 1 to 1378 of the family's 2925-position model. Lineage: Bacteria; Pseudomonadati; Pseudomonadota; Gammaproteobacteria; Enterobacterales; Enterobacteriaceae. The record is from RNAcentral.